Stegodyphus mimosarum is the source of this 73-nucleotide non-coding RNA. Lineage: Eukaryota; Metazoa; Arthropoda; Arachnida; Araneae; Eresidae. The record is from Rfam.
GCCUUCGUGGUGUAGUGGUCAGCACGCUCGACGCGUAUUCGAGAGGUCCGUGGUUCGACUCCCGACGAAGUCG